AGCUUUGUGCAGAGGCGGUACCAUGGCCAAUGAGGUAAAUCCUAGGCGUGAUUAUUGCUAGUUGUAUCGUCCAACUGACAUCGAGUAUGCGCUCGAUUUUAAGUAUCAAGGACUGACACAUAUACAUAUAG
Octopus bimaculoides (California two-spot octopus) is the source of this 131-nucleotide non-coding RNA. NCBI's taxonomy places the organism in Eukaryota, Metazoa, Mollusca, Cephalopoda, Octopoda, Octopodidae. The record is from Rfam.